Pelobates cultripes (western spadefoot toad) is the source of this 278-nucleotide non-coding RNA. Lineage: Eukaryota; Metazoa; Chordata; Amphibia; Anura; Pelobatidae. The record is from the annotation of a GenBank genome assembly.
UGGUGGGAUCCAUGCCUGGUUCAUUUUAAUAAAGAUGAGCUUGUCCACGUUGGCCGUGGACAGGCGGCUGCGCUUGUCUGUGAUAACCUUGUGCGGAUCGCACGUCCCCGUGACGGCGACAACGCAUUCGGAUGUCUGCCCUAUCAACUUUCGUGCUAUUUUCCGCGACUACCAUGUUUAGGGUUCGAUUCCAGAGAGGGAACCUGAGAAACGGAUACCACAUGCAAAGAAGUCAGCAGGCGCGCAAAUUACCCACUCCCGACGCGGGGAGGUAAUGA